Manis pentadactyla (Chinese pangolin) is the source of this 5832-nucleotide long non-coding RNA. RefSeq lists it as uncharacterized. The record is from RefSeq and is a predicted model, not a curated record. NCBI's taxonomy places the organism in Eukaryota, Metazoa, Chordata, Mammalia, Pholidota, Manidae. The transcript has 2 exons.
AGUCAGAUGUUGGAUAUGUAACCCAAAAGGUACACUGGGGGAAAUUUUUGAAAAACUCUGUCAAAAAUGACUAAUAGACAAAAAAUUAAGUUUGAUACAGGACUUGUGAAAAAGCUUCGCAAACUGCAAAGCACUCUCUUAGAGGUCAUAACUGAUAAAAAAACAAACACAUGUAAGAGCUCUUCUAUUUCCAUACUCAACAUCGUGAUUAUCUCCUACUUGAAUAAAUUAUCAGGGGCAUGGAGUAUACCAUCAUGCUUUACUACUUUCCAUUUUGGUUAGUUCCUUAAUUUCAUGUGGGCUGAUUUGUUACCAGCCUCACCAUCUUCUUUCAAGAGCUCAACCCACAUUAGCAGAGUUCCUUAUUAGAGAAAGGCCCUCUUUAAUAGGCUAUCCUAAUGAUGUCUGAUUUUUAAUAAUUUUUAAUUUUCAGGCUAUGAAUUACACAAGUAAGGCAUUUUUCACACAAGUUCCCUGAGAAUUUUAUAAAUUAUAGAUGCAAAAUCUGUCCACUUCCAGGAUUCCGCUUGACCAGUGAAAGAGGAAUGGUGUCUCUAUUCCCUCAUUCUACAUGCACUUGAUAACUGUGUCCUUCACAGCAGAUGCACAUUCUGAACCCUUAAUUUAAGAGACACUUAUGGUGUGGAUGAAGGAUGAGAGGUGUCCCUUUUCUCCUUCAAAGAGUAAAAGGAAAGAAAUCUGAGAACAUUUCUGAGGCUCGGGAAAAAAAAGAUUUCUUCUCUGAUCCAGGAUCUUAAGAGUAAUUCACAGAAAAGGAUUUCUUUUUUGACCCUAAGACCAAGAACACUCAGGUGAGUCAUAAUUAUAGAGACUUAAAAGAGGUAAUGUGAAGAUCCAUAAAUGCAAGAAAAAUCUUAUCUUAUCUUCAAAAUAGGGAGAAUGAUAAAUUUUAAAUAACUGAAAGGAGGAAAAAUUAAUAUAUGAUAAUUAGUGAAUUUUAAACAUAAAAGGCCAUAUGCAAUAGUGAAGCUCUUUUAAGGAAAUGUUUUCAACAGGUAUGGGUUUUAAAACAUGGGGAGGACAAUGUGAAAGGGGCAGAGAUGUCUGCAUCAUCACUGAAGGCCUUAUUCUUUGAAAAAUCCUCAUCUUUCUGAAAUUUUCGCCCCCAGUAAGUCUCGCAUACUUCCAAGUCAAGCAUACCCUUUAGUUAUUAUAAAAUGCCCUGAUGACCUGACAACUCAUAAUAGAUGAAUCAGAUAUCUGUGUUUCUCUGCCAUUCAAAGUCAUGGUAAGAAAAUAUUAAGAAUUACAUGACUGGGUACAAUGCAUGCCAUGGAGGCCAGACAGCAGUGAAAUAAUAAGUGGUAUUUCUUAAAGACACUGCAUAUUUGAUAACUAUCAUUCCUUUAGCAAACAUUCAUUGAAUACUUACUAUGUGCCAAGUACUGGAAAUAAUAAAGAAAAUCAGUAUUUCCUGGCUUUAUUAUAAAAUGUUUUAUUGGCUUAAAAAUAGAAUUUCAUGGAAAACAUUUUAUUGGCUAUAUUCUGGUGGAAGAAAGGAAGAGAAGAGGGACAAGUUGGCCCAAACUUAUUUGUUUUAACAGAAGUCUUUAUAUUUUCAUCCUGAUAUUCCAGGUUUUACUAAACAAUAAGAGAGUUGAACUGGCAGGCUGGAAAGACUAAGGCUUUGUGGUUACCAUAGCUGUUUGUACUUCACACACUUUGUGUGAACAAAAGAGAAAAUGAGGCCUUACUCCUCUCUCUUUCAAUUAGCUAAGCAAAGCAAAGAGAAUUACAUGGUGCUGUUAAUACCAUAAUUUCACAUCUUUAUCAACGUUUAUUUUUUUACAAGUUCUUAAAAAGAAUAUGCCCUAUCUCAUCUACCUCAGAGUCAACUGUUUUUUCUUCAGCUUGUAAGAGCUGCCCACCAAAUACAAAGAAGCUGGGCCUGCUUGGCAUCAUGAACCCAAAGAAGAAAACCAAAGAGAAUACAGUUAAAAACACAAAUACCACUUUUUGGUAACCUGAACAUCCCUCUAUAAUUACCAUCUCUUCCAGAAAUUGAUAAAUACAAUCAUAAUCUGUCAGUGUAAAUACAGCUCCUUUUUAGAAUACUAGGAAAUACUGAAAUUAAGCAUCUCAUACAAGCUAGAGAUCAAUGAACUAUGCAAGAAUAUCAAGUGAUCACCACCAUAAAUGUAGAAUGGGUCACCUGCAAAUACAAAAUGUGUUCUAAAGAAAUGUACUUAAAACCACAUUGCAAACUGUUGAUUUUCUCUUGAAGAGAACUUGAAAACAUUUUUAAAAUUAUAAUAUUUGGGAUGAUCAUUAUUAUCUUCUAAAGAAUUUUUUUUCGUUUACCAAUGUUUAUUUAGGAGAACGUUAUUUCCAAAACUUUUGAGAACAUUAACAUUAUUAAUUUUUAGUAUUGUACUGUAACAUUGAGCACUUAUGAGUCAAUUUCAUAUACUUCCACCUAUUGGCAUUCUUACCCCAAUUUUACAAGUAAGAAAAGGGAGGGAAAAAAAGGUAGUAAUUAAGUUGUCCUAGGUCACCCAGCUAGGAAGAGAAGAGAACUUUAAUAGCAUGCCUUGGAUAAUUUAUUGAGAUUGCCUUCUGUAGCCUAAAAAGGAUCGAUUUGACAAAUGUUUUUUAAGUACUGGAAGGUGGCAUGGGAAGAUACAGUCUACAUUUAUAGUGUAUUACACUAAGUAUAGAUCCAUUCAAAUCCUAAUUAACUUUAUUUUUAUUUACUUGACCUAAUUCUGAUAACAUUGUUAAAACACCUGCUAAUUCCCAAAAUGCAAGUGCCUCUUAGAACAGUGUAUUACAUGUUUUGGGCUUUUAGGAUUGUUGAAGCACAGCAUUUGUUUUGAACUAAACGGGACACUUGCAGAGGGUUGGCAUGGCAUCUUAUUCAAACUCUACACAGUGGCUCUAUGUCAUGUGGAACUACUCUCUGUCACAUAGUAAUUCACUCAAAGCUUGUUGGUCUUAACUCAGAUCGCUCCUAUUUCCAAAAUGAGUAUCUUUAUUCUCAAGUGGUACACUUGUUUCUAAUCCCUACUAUUUCCAUGUUCAACCAUUUUAUCACAAUAUUUAUGGUUUGUCCCUAAUAUCCUUUCCCUUCAUAUAUAUUAUUAAUUAUAAAUAGUUCAUACUCUUUGAAUUAUUCUGGUUUUUUUGGGGGGUAACAUCUAAAAUUUAUUGCUUGGUUAUUAGCACUGUAAGAUUUAAACAUAUAUAAAGGAUCUAUGGUUUUGACUGCUUGAAAAACCCUGUGAUGAAAGAGAACUGCCCAAAUUUUAUCUUAUAUGAAUGCUUUUCUUCUACUUUCCCAAAUUAAAACAUUUAACUCAAAUGUCACUUGCUCAAAGAGGUCUCCCCUGACCUCCUAAUCUAAAUUAGAUCCCCAAUUAUCCUCAUCUAGAACAUUCUGCUCUUUUCCUUCAGGGCAUCUAUCAUGAUCAGGGUACAUUUUAAAUAAUAUAUAUUAAUAUAAACCCCAUAAGGGCAGAGGUCAUGCCUUUACUCUUCAUUUUAUAAUAAAUGCUUGAUUAGCACAGUGCUCACACAUAGGGAGCAUUCAAUAAAUACUUGAUGAAGUAGUUCAUUAAUAAUUAACAAAUAUUAUUAAAAGUAUAGUCACAGGGGAGAAGGCAUCAAACUCAACUGGGAGAUUACUUCUAGAGUGCUUAUUUACCAUUCUGGACUAGAUAAAUCAGAAUUACUCUGGGCUAUCUUGAGAAAUCCAACACGCCAUGUUUUACUCAACUCAACUCAGGCCAGUGAUACAUACAGCAUCACCUGUAAACAGCAGUAAAAGUCACAUAGCUUGGAAAGUGCUUUGCCCUGCCCUGGGCCAGGGGCAGUACUGGAUGGAGGCAACAUAAAGCCUUUGGGUAUCAGGAGGUAGAAAUGUAUUAGUAUAAAACCACAAAUUAUGAUCAUUCUGUCAUCAUGUUAAACAGCAGAGAGCAACUCAAGAGGAACCUCUGGUGACAUCACGCAGAGAGUUUAUAUGUGAAUAGCUGUAAUGCUGCACCCUUCCCCAGAGAACCUAAAACCUGGAAUCAGAUCGCAAGGAACUCUUACACCCCCAAAGUCCAAGAGAUCUCAGCCUUUGGUUUCAUGACAAAUAACCCGACUCAGAAUGGGACAUGGGUUCUCAUCUUAACCUUUCCUGGGCUCUCUUCUCAGCCAACUUGGGAGCUCAAGUCCUGUAAGGCACCAGUCUUCAUCACCCUGUCCCCUUCUUUACAAAUGUGCUGCUCAGAAUGGAAUGGCACCUGUGACACUUGAGGACAGUUACUUCAUAUGAGAAACCUAUCAUCUUUGUAUCUUGCAGAGAGAAAUAAGAAAAAAAAAAGACCUCAGACCACACAAAAUAAUCAAAUAAAUGCUAAUGUAUCUUUACCAAUUUCAGUCCCGAGUUGCCUCCACAUGUCACAGGCUAUUGCCCUCAAAGAGAAUUCUUGAGACCCAACAUUAAUUGUGAAAUGCACCAUGAUCUCAGAUCCAAGCUAAAAUGCAACUUUCUUUUCUGUGAGGCCCUUAACCAGGCUUUAGUAACACAUACGAGCACUCAGGAUUAUUCUGUCACCUGACAGAAAAUGCUUUGUAGGAUGGGCAACGUUUACAGCAGAGAAGAGCCUGUCGGAUAGUAACUCCAUUAUAAUAAUUCUUCUAGAAAGAAAAGACGGCAGGGAAAAGCGUUUAGUAAAGUGAGUGGGAGGCUAGUUUCCAAAACUGGCAAAGUAGAGAGCUUUAAAAACCUGCAAUCCCUAAGUAGUCAGAGAAUAGUGUUAACCCACUCCCUUUUGAUUUCCAUAAAAGUAGGCUUGAGAUUUGAUGUACUUACUGAGAGAAGGAAGAAGAGAGAGAAACAUUCAUACAUUUUUCUUUAUGCAGAGAUGGACAUGGUAUAGGAAUUAAAAGAAAAGCUGUGUUCCUUUAGUUCAGUGUUCCUUUGGCAGGAUCAGGCAAAAACUCGGGUCUGGUCCAAACCCUAGAGGGACCAUAAACGUCACCCAGAAAAAAUAUAUAUCCAUUUUCCAGAGUCCUACUUCUUCUACGGCAGAAACAACGAUAAAGAAUUCAGAGGUGAAAAGAAUUAGUACAUCAUAAAAAAUAGGGAAGAAAAAUAAAAUACUCUCACAUUGACUGUUCCUAAGAAAAUUUACUCACAUACUUAAAUUUAUGCAGCAAAUUAGCAGGAGCCUCAUAAAUACUGGACCCAUAAUGAAGCUGUAAUCAUUCAUUUUAUUUACAUUUCAUUAGGGGGCACUAUAGUAAUGAUCUUCGAAAGAUUUCACUGCAGCCAAUGAAAAAGGAAGUGGACAACCUAAGGGGGGGGCGGGGGCGGGCAUAAAAAGAGAAUGCCAUUUGUCCCAAAGGCACAGAAUUAUUAAAAACAAUCUGCUUAAAAAGUUACUAUGUGCUUUCUAUGCAUUUCCAACUCGUAAUUGCUUUCUAAAUUACUUUUGCUCCACAACACUACAUGCAAGGUAUAUUUGACUAAAGAAUUCAGGCUGAACUUUGAGCAUUACAUGGGAAACAAACAAACUUCCAUGAAAUAGAGGCUGCAACAGUAAUUUCCGAUACACCUAGAAUAUUCGCCACUUGUCAUUUAGUGUUGGCAAAAUCCACGACCACCUUUCAGACACCUACAUAGCAAUUUGAAUAGCUGUACCGGAGGGCAGAGCAGCAAUACACUGAAUAAAACACCCAGCACCCACACCAUUCCUUCGAAGGCUGUUGGCCAUACAUUUCAAAUAACCUGAAAUGAAGAUCAAAAUGGAAUAGAAUGUACUUAUUUAUUUUACCUGACGCAAUAAAUGAAUAGGAAGUAAAAUUUAAGGUUAAAAAUAA